This 405-nucleotide unclassified non-coding RNA is filed under the name soil metagenome. RNAcentral's name for it is "partial contains 5.8S ribosomal RNA, internal transcribed spacer 2, and large subunit ribosomal RNA". The stretch from base 1 to 121 matches the Rfam family "5.8S ribosomal RNA", at positions 35 to 154 of the family's 154-position model. The record is from RNAcentral.
GAUGAAGAACGUAGCGAAAUGCGAUAAGUAAUGUGAAUUGCAGAAUUCAGUGAAUCAUCGAAUCUUUGAACGCACCUUGCGCCCUUUGGCCAUUCCGAAGGGCAUGCCUGUUUGAGUAUCAUGAACACCUCAACUCUUUAUGGUUUUCCAUGAUGAGCUUGGACUCUGGGGGUUUUGCUGGCUCACAGUCGGCUCCUCUAAAAUGAAUCAGCUUACCAGUGUUUGGUGGGUAUCAUGGGUGUGAUAACUAUCUACGCUUGUGGUUUUUCCACCAGGUAACCUUCAGCAGUGGAGGUUCGCUGGAGCUCAUAGAUGUCUCUCCUCAGUGAGGACAGCCCUUUGAAUGUUUGAUCUCAAAUCAGGUAGGACUACCCGCUGAACUUAAGCAUAUCAAUAAGCAGAGGA